RNAcentral lists this long non-coding RNA (698 nucleotides) under Pongo abelii (Sumatran orangutan). Its description in RNAcentral is "lincRNA". Lineage: Eukaryota; Metazoa; Chordata; Mammalia; Primates; Hominidae. The record is from RNAcentral.
AGACCCUCCAGGGACAGGGCCCAGGAUUGAAGAGGGAAGCCCUGCCCCGCACGUGUUCAUCAGGAAGGACCCACAGACUGCUGCUCCUGGAGGCCUCUCAGGGUUUAUGGAUGUGUGUUUGUUCCAUAAACCCUCAGAGGGUCACCUGGAGACCUGCUAAAAUGCAGGUUCUUGGGCCACAUCCUAGACCUUCUGACCGACCCAGGGAGUGGGGCCCAGAAAGCUGCAUUUGACAGAUAUCCCCGUGUGAUCAUCAUGCACACAGGAGUGAGCGAACCAGUGUUCUCCCUGGGCAGAAGGGAAGCUUGUGUGCAGGACACCUCAUGCCUCCUUUCCCAUUCCCCUGCCAGGCUCUCCCUGCUGACAUUGUUUCGUGGGAGAGCUGUGAAUUCUGAAGAUUAGGUUGCUUCUCACCCCAAGCUCCAGAAGUCCAGGCUGAGCCAAACCAAGCUUCAAGUUGUGCCUGGACUUGGAGAACCAGGAGGUGAGGGGACUGACUGCUUGAAGAUCACAUGGAGGAGGAGUCUGAUCCAGGCCCAGUCUUGCUCUGUUGCUCAGGCUGGAGUACAGUGGCAUGAUCUCAGCUCACUGCAACCUCUGCCCGCCGGGUUCAAGCAAUUCUCAUGCAUCAGCCUCCCAAGAAGCUGGGACUGACUACAGGCAUGCACCACCACACCUAGCUAAUUUUUGUGUCUAAC